AACGAACGCUGGCGGCAUGCCUAACACAUGCAAGUCGAACGAGGCCUUCGGGUCUAGUGGCGCACGGGUGCGUAACGCGUGGGAACCUGCCCUUAGGUUCGGAAUAACUCCCCGAAAGGGGUGCUAAUACCGGAUAAUGUCUUCGGACCAAGGAUUUAUCGCCUUUGGAUGGGCCCGCGUUGGAUUAGCUAGUUGGUAGGGUAAAAGCCUACCAAGGCGACGAUCCAUAGCUGGUCUGAGAGGAUGAUCAGCCACACUGGGACUGAGACACGGCCCAGACUCCUACGGGAGGCAGCAGUGGGGAAUAUUGGACAAUGGGCGAAAGCCUGAUCCAGCAAUGCCGCGUGAGUGAUGAAGGCCUUAGGGUUGUAAAGCUCUUUUACCCGGGAUGAUAAUGACAGUACCGGGAGAAUAAGCUCCGGCUAACUCCGUG
RNAcentral lists this ribosomal RNA (433 nucleotides) under uncultured bacterium. Its description in RNAcentral is "partial 16S ribosomal RNA". It matches the Rfam family "Bacterial small subunit ribosomal RNA", at positions 29 to 507 of the family's 1533-position model. The record is from RNAcentral.